UAACCUGCCCUUAACUUCGGGAUAAGCCUGGGAAACCGGGUCUAAUACCGGAUACGACGGACCGCCGCAUGGUGGUCCGUGGAAAGCUUUAUGCGGUUUUGGAUGGACUCGCGGCCUAUCAGCUAGUUGGUUGGGGUAACGGCCCACCAAGGCGACGACGGGUAGCCGGCCUGAGAGGGUGACCGGCCACACUGGGACUGAGACACGGCCCAGACUCCUACGGGAGGCAGCAGUGGGGAAUAUUGCACAAUGGGCGAAAGCCUGAUGCAGCGACGCCGCGUGAGGGACGAAGGCCUUCGGGUUGUAAACCUCUUUCAGCAGGGAAGAAGCGAAAGUGACGGUACCUGCAGAAGAAGCGCCGGCUAACUACGUGCCAGCAGCCGCGGUAAUACGUAGGGCGCAAGCGUUAUCCGGAAUUAUUGGGCGUAAAGAGCUCGUAGGCGGUUUGUCGCGUCUGCUGUGAAAGCCCGGGGCUCAACCCCGGGUCUGCAGUGGGUACGGGCAGACUAGAGUGCAGUAGGGGAGACUGGAAUUCCUGGUGUAGCGGUGAAAUGCGCAGAUAUCAGGAGGAACACCGAUGGCGAAGGCAGGUCUCUGGGCUGUAACUGACGCUGAGGAGCGAAAGCAUGGGGAGCGAACAGGAUUAGAUACCCUGGUAGUCCAUGCCGUAAACGUUGGGCACUAGGUGUGGGGGACAUUCCACGUUUUCCGCGCCGUAGCUAACGCAUUAAGUGCCCCGCCUGGGGAGUACGGCCGCAAG
Molecule: ribosomal RNA, 760 nt
Filed under: Arthrobacter sp. MD01
Lineage: Bacteria; Bacillati; Actinomycetota; Actinomycetes; Micrococcales; Micrococcaceae
Description: bacterial SSU rRNA
Rfam family: Bacterial small subunit ribosomal RNA
Source: RNAcentral